UGUGAAAGAUUAAUAAUUUAGAAAGGAUUUUAUGAAUUGCUAUGGAGAGCAUUAAGAUUUAAUUGAUUAAUUGGGAAAUGUUAAUUUUACUCAUCCCUAAUUCAAGACAUUUGUUAAUCUUCAGAAUAUGAGAUGUUAGUGAAAACAAAAGCUUUUUGUCUUUUGUCUCUCUAAUUUAACCCGUUUUCUUCCCUCAUUCUUUAUUUCUCACUCCUUAGGCUCGUAAGUUGACCCCAUUCAACAACUACUAGGGCUUUCCAAUUGCAAGAAAACAGCUGGCAUUCAAAUUGGAUUCCCGGUCUAAUUUCCUCUAAGAUUGAUCUGACCCAGGGGAUUGCCUUUUUCAUCAAAUUAGACCUGACCAAUGUGUUUUUUUUUUUUCCUGAAAGUGUGACUUUUUUUUCUUUCCCAAGAGGCAUCAACAAGCAAAGGGUCCAAAGCAACAGUGCCUAUAGGCUCUGGUAAAGGAUUUGCAUCUUGAAUGGGUAACCUGCAGUUCUCCUCAAUGAAGACAUCAGAUCAAAGUUCAACCAGUCAAAGCCCUGCUAAAACGUUAAGGAGGCCGGCACGUACACAAAGGCACGGGAUGAACGGCAACUGCUGCCUCAGGAGAGGGGUUAAAAAAACACACUGGAAUCCCUGAUCCAGAUUAAGAGUGGAUUAUGGCGUUCACAAUGGAGCCGGUUUCAUUUGAAUUCACUAAAGAAUUUUGUUCAAUAUUUCAGUUUUUAAUGGUUAUUGUAAACUUUCCAUAGGAUUAAAAAUAGGGGAGAAAACUUCAUUAUCCUCUU
Long non-coding RNA from Puntigrus tetrazona (Sumatra barb), 791 nucleotides. RefSeq lists it as uncharacterized. The transcript has 3 exons. The record is from RefSeq and is a predicted model, not a curated record. NCBI's taxonomy places the organism in Eukaryota, Metazoa, Chordata, Actinopteri, Cypriniformes, Cyprinidae.